UAAUCUGCUUUUAUUUUUCUAAAAUGAUUUUGCAUAAACUUGUGACUAUAGCCGUGCCUGCGACCAAUUGUGAAGAUUCUAUUCAAUUUCGAUCUAAGGAGGGAUAUAGAUUGGCUUCCUUAGACCAGCCCGGCCCUUCCUCCCCUAGUGGGCCUGGCUCUGGUGCAUCUUCCCGAUUUCCCAUACUCUAUAGAUUGCACAGAAGUGAUGCCAUUAAAUCCAUCCUUAGAUCUGGGAGUGGGGAAUGAACGUUUGGGAGGGCUCCCACCGUCUUUGGUUUACUUCGGAGUGACAGGUCUGGAAGACAUGGGGACCUUAAGUCGGGGGUCUAUAGGAUUCCCCUACAAAACUUGG
Molecule: long non-coding RNA, 354 nt
Filed under: Androctonus crassicauda
Lineage: Eukaryota; Metazoa; Arthropoda; Arachnida; Scorpiones; Buthidae
Source: RNAcentral